UACGUAGGGGGCAAGCGUUGUCCGGAAUUAUUGGGCGUAAAGAGCGUGUAGGCGGCCAGAUAAGUCCGCUGUGAAAUCUCGAGGCUCAACUUCGAGCUGUCGGUGGAAACUAUCUGGCUAGAGUCCGGAAGAGGAGAAUGGAAUUCCUGGUGUAGCGGUGAAAUGCGCAGAUAUCAGGAGGAACACCAAUGGCGAAGGCAGCUCGCUGGGACGGUACUGACGCUGAGGCGCGAAAGCGUGGGGAGCGAACAGG
This 253-nucleotide ribosomal RNA is filed under the name uncultured bacterium. RNAcentral's name for it is "partial 16S ribosomal RNA". It matches the Rfam family "Bacterial small subunit ribosomal RNA", at positions 524 to 776 of the family's 1533-position model. The record is from RNAcentral.